Molecule: ribosomal RNA, 484 nt
Filed under: uncultured bacterium
Lineage: Bacteria
Description: partial 16S ribosomal RNA
Rfam family: Bacterial small subunit ribosomal RNA
Source: RNAcentral
AUUGAACGCUGGCGGAAUGCUUUACACAUGCAAGUCGAGCGGCAGCGCGGCCUUCGGGCUGGCGGCGAGCGGCGAACGGGUGAGUAAUGCAUCGGAACAUGCCCAGUCGUGGGGGAUAACACUUCGAAAGAAGUGCUAAUACCGCAUACGUCCUGCGGGGGAAAGCGGGGGAUCGCAAGACCUCGCGCGAUUGGAGUGGCCGAUGUCAGAUUAGCUAGUUGGUGGGGUAAAGGCCUACCAAGGCGACGAUCUGUAGCUGGUCUGAGAGGAUGAUCAGCCACACUGGGACUGGGACACGGCCCAGGCUCCUACGGGAGGCAGCAGUGGGGAAUUUUGGACAAUGGGGGCAACCCUGAUCCAGCCAUUCCGCGUGAGUGAAGAAGGCCUUCGGGUUGUAAAGCUCUUUCGGCAGGAACGAAACGGUGGGCUCUAACAUAGUCCGCUAAUGACGGUACCUGAAGAAGAAGCACCGGCUAACUACGUG